GACGAACGCUGGCGGCGUGCUUAACACAUGCAAGUCGAACGCUGAAGACCUGGCUUUUGUUGGGUUGGAUGAGUGGCGAACGGGUGAGUAACACGUGAGUAACCUGCCCUCUUCUUUGGGAUAACGCCCGGAAACGGGUGCUAAUACUGGAUAUUCACUGAUCUUCGCAUGGGGGUUGGUGGAAAGGUUUGUUCUGGUGGGGGAUGGGCUCGCGGCCUAUCAGCUUGUUGGUGGGGUGAUGGCCUACCAAGGCUUUGAUGGGUAGCCGGCCUGAGAGGGUGACCGGUCACAUUGGGACUGAGAUACGGCCCAGACUCCUACGGGAGGCAGCAGUGGGGAAUAUUGCACAAUGGGCGAAAGCCUGAUGCAGCGACGCCGCGUGAGGGAUGGAGGCCUUCGGGUUGUAAACCUCUUUCGCUCAUGGUCAAGCCGCAACUGUGGGUUGUGGUGAGGGUAGUGGGUAAAGAAGCGCCGGCUAACUACGUG
RNAcentral lists this ribosomal RNA (486 nucleotides) under uncultured bacterium. RNAcentral describes it as "partial 16S ribosomal RNA". It matches the Rfam family "Bacterial small subunit ribosomal RNA", at positions 28 to 507 of the family's 1533-position model. The record is from RNAcentral.